ACGGGAGGCAGCAGUGGGGAAUAUUGGACAAUGGGCGAAAGCCUGAUGCAGCGACGCCGCGUGGGUGAUGAAGUAUUUCGGUACGUAAAGCCCUAUCAGCAGGGAAGAUAAUGACGGUACCUGACUAAGAAGCUCCGGCUAAAUACGUGCCAGCAGCCGCGGUAAUACGUAUGGAGCAAGCGUUAUCCGGAUUUACUGGGUGUAAAGGGAGCGCAGGCGGUUAAGUAAGUUGGAUGUGAAAAUCCGGGGCUCAACUCCGGACCUGCAUCCAAAACUGCAUAACUAGAGUAUCGGAGGGGCAAGCGGAAUUCCUAGUGUAGCGGUGAAAUGCGUAGAUAUUAGGAGGAACACCAGUGGCGAAGGCGGCUUGCUGGACGAAAACUGACGCUGAGGCGCGAAAGCGUGGGGAGCAAACAGGAUUAGAUACCCUGGUA
Molecule: ribosomal RNA, 434 nt
Filed under: uncultured Lachnospiraceae bacterium
Lineage: Bacteria; Bacillati; Bacillota; Clostridia; Lachnospirales; Lachnospiraceae
Description: partial 16S ribosomal RNA
Rfam family: Bacterial small subunit ribosomal RNA
Source: RNAcentral